RNA transcript from Leucoraja erinaceus (little skate), 3422 nucleotides. It is a transcript of the gene named fibroblast growth factor 19, with no coding region annotated. The transcript is spliced from 4 exons. The record is from RefSeq and is a predicted model, not a curated record. Lineage: Eukaryota; Metazoa; Chordata; Chondrichthyes; Rajiformes; Rajidae.
UACAAGGUCCAUACCGCCAUGUAAACCGUAGUCUAAAAUUGUCUUAUUUUCAAAUUUAGUGAGGGGAGGGGGGGAAACAUGGACAGUGUUUAAAACAUAAUCGCCCAAGCCUGGGAUAUCCCUGGUACUGUCUGAUGCAAUGUCCAGCCACACUUGGUAGGCGGGCGCUUUUGUUUCAAAAAAACUAUUAUGACUGAUCCACAAAUGAUUCUUUGGGGAUCAGUCGUAUCGAUUUUGCUGAUAAGGAGAGCGACCUUUAAAAAGGCAGUUCCUCGUGUGCCUCAGCAGUUCAGAGGGAGAGGACGGAGCAACUGGGACACUUCUGUUUUCGUUUUACGUUGCCUUUUUCUUUAACAACGCCGCUCCGAGAGAUUUGGUGGGUCGUAAACCGAGACCGAUCAAUGGACCAUUCGGCUGCGCGCAAACUGUGCGCUCUUCUCGCGGUGACCCAGCUGCGGUUCGCCACGCUGGUGAUCUCCAAGCCCGCGGCCAACGCGGGGCCACACAUCAAUUCGGGCUGGGACCAGACCAUCAGGUUGAUCCACCUCUACACCACCCAGGCCAAAGGCAGCUUCCUCAGCUACCACCUCCAGAUCCACGAGGACGGCACGGUGGAUGGCAGUCGCGAGAGGACCUCGCACAGUCUCCUUGAGAUGAGGUCGGUGGCUCCGGGCGUGGUGGCGAUCAGAGGCUAUCGAAGCGGCCGCUACCUCUGCAUGGAGAGGAACGGACGGCUACAUGGUUCGCUGUCGUACAACAAAGGGGACUGUUCGUUUGAGGAGCGUUUGCUGUCGGGCACCUACAACGUGUACUGGUCGGAGAGGCACGAGGCUCCGGUGUCACUGAGCGGCCGAAGGCAACGUGACCACACCAGGGGGAGAGCGUUACCCCCUCUCUCCCAGUUCUUGCCCAUACGGAACAUGCCCCCUAUCCCUCUGGAUCCAGACGAGGAAUCGUGGCUAAUGCCUGAACACCCCCCUUCACUCAUCCAGACGAAUAGCAUGGACCCCCUCGAAUUCACCUACGAUGCCACAUGAGAACGUGCUGCCUGGCAGCUGUACAGAACCUUCCUGAGUGUUGUCUAUCUGAGCUCAGUUUAGUUUAUUGUCACCUGUGCCCAGGUACAGUGGAAAGCUUUUGUUGCAUGCUGGCCAGUCAGCGGAAAGACAAUGCAUGAUAAACAUGGAACCAUCCACAGUGUACAGAUACAUGAUAAAGAGAAUGAUGUGAAUGAUAUUUAGUGCAAGAUAAAGUUCAGAAAAGUCUGAUCAAAGAUUGUCCGAGGGUCUCCGAUGAGGUAGAUAGUAGUUCAGGACCGCUCCCUAGUUGUGGUAGGAUGGUUCAGUUGCCUGAUAACAGCUGGGAAGAAACUGCCCCUGAAUCUGGAGGUGUGCGUUUUCACACUUCCGUACCUCAUGCCUGAUGGGAGAGGGGGGAAGAGGGAGUGGCCAGGGUGCGACUCGUCCUUGAUUAUGCUGCUGGCCUUGUCGAGGCAGGGUGAGAUGUAGAUGGAGUUUUGUGUGAUGGUCUGGGCUGCGUCCACAAGCUCUGCAAUUUCUUGCGGUCUUGGGUGGAGCUGUUCCCAAACCCAUGCUGUGAUGGACGGGUUGACUGUUUACAGUUCGAUCUAUACUCUGAUCACUUUCCCUUCAUAUGGCCCCGUUAACCAGGACUUUACAUUCAGGUGAAGUAGGCCCCUAAAUGACAGCCAUGUUUUAGAAGGCAUUCCUUUGACUCUGUUGGUAGACAGAAAUGCUGGAGAAACUCAGCGGGUGAGUGAAUCUAUGGAGUGAAGGAAAUAGGCAACGUUUCGGGCCAAAACCUUUCUGCAGACUGAUGUGAGGGUGGGGGGAAGAAGAACGGAAGAGGAGGAGCCAGUGGGCUAGAGGGCGAGCUGAGAAGGGGAGGAGACAGCAGGGACUACCUGAAAUUAGAGAAGUCAAUGUUCAUACCGCUGGGGCACAAACUGCCCAAGCGAAAUAUAAGGUGCUGCUCCUCCAAUUUACGGUGGUCCUCACUCUGACCAUGGAGGAGGCCCAGGACAGGAAGGUCGGAUUCGGAAUGGGAGGGGGAGUUGAAGUGCUGAGCCACCGGGAGAUCAGGUUGGUUAUUGCGAACCGAGCGGAGGUGUUCGGCGAAGCGAUCGCCAAGCCUACGCUUGGUCUCACGGAUGUAGAGCAGCUGACAUCUAGAGCAGUGGAUGCAAUAGAUACAAAGGGGUUCCUUCUUAACCCUUGACUCUCUUGUUUAUUUUGACUCCAAUCCAAAUGAAGUAUUGGAGCAAGUUGCCCACAGACCUGACGACAGGUCACCGUUUCUCCAGCACUUUUGUCUACCAUUGUAUAAAGGUUCAUGUCUUCUAUUUAAACUAUCUUGCAAAUCCUUCCUAUGAAGAGAAAGACACAUGAGUGUAUUAUGCAAGGAGGAGAGAUAGAAGGCAGAGUUUAAGCCUCCACCCUAAACUCCCACCCUCCACUAGACAUCUCUGUUACUAAGAUAUGGUGAUUACAGAGCCAGCCUUAUCAUCAGUGGCUGUUCUGCAGGAAGAUAACGGAGACAGAUUCGGCAGAUUUCAAGGAUGCAAUACAAGUAUCAUAUCUGAUGAAAGAGUAGAAUGACUUUAAAAACGACAUCCACACUAACCAGAACUGCAGUUUAGUUUAGUUUAGAGAUACAGCGCGGAAACAGGCCCUUCGGCUCACCGAGUCCAUGCCGACCAGCGAUCCCCGCAUAGUAACAUUAUCCCACACACACACACCACACACAAUUUAAAUUUAUAGAAUAUACAAUUUAUAGAAAGCCAAUUAACCAACAAACCUGUAAGUCUUUGGAGUGUGGGAGGAAACCGAAGAUCUCUGAGAAAUCCCACGCUGGUCACGGGGAUAGCGUACAAACUUCGUACAGACGGCACCUGCAGUCAAGAUCAAACCUGGGUCUCUGGCACUGAAAGCGCUGGAAGGUAGCAACUCUACCACCGUGCCACCCCAGCUUCAAGAAAAAUGCACAAGCUUGAAUUUGAUAAUGAGAUUGAAUUUUGAAUUUGAAUUCGAAUGCAAGUUUGAAUUUGGAUUUAAAUGUGAAAUGCACAAGUUUAAAUUUCAAUAUGAGUUUGAAUUUCAAUUUGAAAUUGCACAAUUAUGAAUCUGAAGGAAAUCCACAUCAAAAAAAAUUGAUUGUAAAUUCACCCAAAGAUGCACUUGACCAUUACUAUGGUAUUUAAAAUUAACUUAUUGAGUACUAUUUCCUUCUAUUUUGUUACUUUAUUUAUGUAUACAUAUUUAUAUGUUUAUCAAAUGUUGUGUAAUUUAGUGAAGUGAACUAUGUUUUGUAGAGAGCUGAAGAUGUACAUGUUUUUUUUGCUUGAAUGAUUACUAAGUAAAUUGAAUCAAAUCACCUGCAGUUAUAUGUAAGAUAUGUGGAGU